Molecule: long non-coding RNA, 648 nt
Organism: Sapajus apella (tufted capuchin)
Lineage: Eukaryota; Metazoa; Chordata; Mammalia; Primates; Cebidae
Exons: 2
Source: RefSeq, a predicted model, not a curated record
UAGAAGUCUAGACCUGGCAGACAGGCCUGCACAGUGACAGAGACCCCGAAGUUGGCCACUGUUGUGUCCUCUGCUGUGAGCUUCCAUCACUGCCUUGAGCCUCCUUUGUGUGUCCUUUGCUGGCCUCUGUGUUGAGCUGCCCUGGUCACACCUCUCUCUGUGGCCACUUCACUUCUCUAGACCUCCCGGAGCUCCAAGCUGCUCCUGGUACUCAUUCAUUCAUUCAUUCAUUCAGUAAACAUUCCCUGGGGGCUGUUAUGUCUAAGGCUCUGAUCUAGAAACACUCCAUCUCAGGAGUGCACAUUCUGGUGGGGGCGGCAGAAAUGAACCCACAGUUUUAACCAGGGCAGCAACCCAGGUGUGCCACAUGGGCACACGAAUAAACCAGUCAUCUCCCCAUCUCAAGAGCUCUAACUUCAUCACAGCUGCAAAGCCCCUUUUGAUAAACAAGGUAGCACAGUCACAGACCUCAGGGAUCGGGACGUGGGCACCUGAUGGGGCAUGAUUCAGCUUACUGUAACCCAGAAUCAAUGAUGUGCGAAGUCACAACUAAAGCUCCCCCAUGCCAAUCUUCCCAGGGGCACACUGCUCUCUGAGAUGUCCUGGGGCUUUAAGCAUCAAAUAAUUGAAAAUAAUCUCCUUUUUGGG